GUGCCAGCAGCCGCGGUAAUACGUAGGGUGCAAGCGUUAAUCGGAAUUACUGGGCGUAAAGCGUGCGCAGGCGGUUUUGUAAGUCUGUCGUGAAAGCCCCGGGCUCAACCUGGGAAUUGCGAUGGAGACUGCAAGGCUUGAAUCUGGCAGAGGGGGGUAGAAUUCCACGUGUAGCAGUGAAAUGCGUAGAGAUGUGGAGGAACACCGAUGGCGAAGGCAGCCCCCUGGGUCAAGAUUGACGCUCAUGCACGAAAGCGUGGGGAGCAAACA
Molecule: ribosomal RNA, 270 nt
Filed under: uncultured Burkholderiales bacterium
Lineage: Bacteria; Pseudomonadati; Pseudomonadota; Betaproteobacteria; Burkholderiales
Description: partial 16S ribosomal RNA
Rfam family: Bacterial small subunit ribosomal RNA
Source: RNAcentral